Molecule: long non-coding RNA, 941 nt
Organism: Oreochromis niloticus (Nile tilapia)
Lineage: Eukaryota; Metazoa; Chordata; Actinopteri; Cichliformes; Cichlidae
Exons: 2
Source: RefSeq, a predicted model, not a curated record
CACAGGUCAAUGACUACAUUUUUGUUUUACAUUUUCAUUGUAAGUGGGCUAAAGCAGUUAAUUAAAAGUAGUCUAACAUAAAUGUAAAUGCUGUAAUUUGAUCCGCCUCCGUUAACGCUGUACUUCCGGGCUCUUUGUAGGCGUGUCAUUUCCUCCAUCCCCUCUCUUCGACUUACCCGUUAAGAAAAGUAACCACAAAAAAAAAUAAAAAAAAAAAAAAAAUGCACCGCCCACAUCGUGAGUAGCGCACAUUAUGCUGUGGUAUAUAUGUGCGCUGCUCCGGAGGAAAGAAACACUCUACUCCUUCGUUCUCAGGAUGGAUCCUUGGAGCUAUUUCCCCGUUCUUAUUUGUAUCAGCCAAGAACUAUUUGGAAAGUCGAUCCAAGCUCCUAAAUCUGGGGUUUCCUUUAAAGUAACUGUGGAAGAAGGUCAAUAACCAAUAAAUCUGUGUCUGCAAGGUGGGAGAAAAAAACGAAGGUUGUAGUUGAGCGCAAUUCCCACGAAGAAGAAAGAAACGAAAUUAAUAGCCGAUUCUCUGUGUCACCUGAAUGGGUCGGGGAUGGAAGAUUUGUUUUAACAGUGAAACAGGUUAAGAAAGAAGAUCGAGGACGUUGUUUCUGCACCAGUGCUGUGUGAGUCUGCACCAUUGACUGUAGAAAACUUUCUACAGUCAAUGGUCUGCACAAGAGCACGGAGGAGAAAAGCAAACGAGAGACACCUAUCUGAGCAGAUAGGUGUGGCACGAAAACGAGAAGAGCAGCGUGGAAUUCAGAGCAUGUGUAUAGCAGACCGACACAGAAACUCCAGCCGAACAUCGACAAGAAACGCGAGUAGCUGUCAGCAGAGGAGGAAUUUGGACUGCCAGCCUGAUCCCAGUCAGUCCUGUGGAGGAGAAGAUUUGAAGUGUCGGCCUUGUGGGCUGGAUGCUGGUGAACCACCCA